GGAAGCGAGCUGAUCCCCUUCGGGGGUGACGCUCGUGGAAUGAGCGGCGGACGGGUGAGUAACACGUGGGCAACCUGCCUGUAAGAUCGGAAUAACUCCGGGAAACCGGAGCUAAUGCCGGGUAACAUGUUCCUUCGCAUGAAGGAACAUUAAAAGAUGGCUUCUCGCUAUCACUUACAGAUGGGCCCGCGGCGCAUUAGCUAGUUGGUGAGGUAACGGCUCACCAAGGCAACGAUGCGUAGCCGACCUGAGAGGGUGAUCGGCCACACUGGGACUGAGACACGGCCCAGACUCCUACGGGAGGCAGCAGUAGGGAAUCUUCCGCAAUGGACGAAAGUCUGACGGAGCAACGCCGCGUGAACGAUGAAGGUCUUCGGAUCGUAAAGUUCUGUUGUUAGGGAAGAACAAGUACCGUGCGAAUAGAACGGUACCUUGACGGUACCUAACGAGGAAGCCCCGGCUAACUACGUGCCAGCAGCCGCGGUAAUACGUAGGGGGCAAGCGUUGUCCGGAAUUAUUGGGCGUAAAGCGCGCGCAGGCGGUUCCUUAAGUCUGAUGUGAAAGGCCACGGCUCAACCGUGGAGGGCCAUUGGAAACUGGGGAACUUGAGGACAGAAGAGGAGAGUGGAAUUCCACGUGUAGCGGUGAAAUGCGUAGAUAUGUGGAGGAACACCAGUGGCGAAGGCGACUCUCUGGUCUGUUUCUGACGCUGAGGUGCGAAAGCGUGGGUAGCAAACAGGA
RNAcentral lists this ribosomal RNA (741 nucleotides) under Halobacillus salinus. RNAcentral's name for it is "bacterial SSU rRNA". It matches the Rfam family "Bacterial small subunit ribosomal RNA", at positions 53 to 777 of the family's 1533-position model. The record is from RNAcentral. Lineage: Bacteria; Bacillati; Bacillota; Bacilli; Caryophanales; Bacillaceae.